RNAcentral lists this long non-coding RNA (957 nucleotides) under Brassica rapa (field mustard). RNAcentral's name for it is "long non-coding RNA (BRAP_LNC005388)". Lineage: Eukaryota; Viridiplantae; Streptophyta; Magnoliopsida; Brassicales; Brassicaceae. The record is from RNAcentral.
UGGGUGUUGCUUAGGUUAAUUGUGAUUAAAAAUAAAUGGAAAUUACAUAUUAAUAGCGGCAACGUUGCUUAAUUAAGGGAAGAAAGCGACGACGCUUAUGGGACACGCGUCCACCUUUCACGGUUUCUCUCUCUCUCUUCUCUCUUUCUGUCUCGGCUUGAAAAAAAAAAUCAGAGAGUUGCGAUUGAUCUCUCCGGCUUCGUUCUUCACCUCUCUUCGCGAUGAAUUAGUCGGCGACGUGUAUCGACUCUGCGCCUUCCUUUCGCCUCUCCGCCUCCGCCUCCUUUUCGCCUUUCCGCUUCUCCGCCUCUCUUGCGCCUCUCCUCUCCAUCUGUCUUUCACGAGAUAACGUCGACGAUGAAGCACUGGGCGUCUCUCUCGGUUGAUCUUCUCGACGGACCUCGCUCGAUGCGUCUCUCCUCAAAUCGAAAGGUAAACAUCACGGACCUCUCUCGGUGUAGUUCAAUCAUGUAUGCUUUUGAUUUUGAUUAUUCUUGUUCUGUAGCUAAAACUCAUUUCUGAGUUAAUGUCUAAUUAGUAUAAGUAAGUGUUCUGUUUUACUUGCUGUCUUUGUUGGAGUUAAUGUGUUUCUUAAUUUUCAUGUAGUUAAUGUACUUGUCUCAGCUUGUUCUAUGAUUGUGGAAGGCUCUGCUUCACGUGGAAUUUUUUAUACAUGUAUGAUAAUGUUUUCUAUGAUUGUGCAGGCGGAGCUUCACGUGAAGUUAACAGAGACGAGGAGUGGUUGUCUUCUAUCACGGCAGGGUCAGUAGUCAGGAGGAGUAGUCAUGUUGUUGUCUUCAGUUUUAACUUUUUUUAAAAUCCCUAAUAUAAGCAACUUGCAAUGGAGGAGGAAAAUUAUCAAGUUGCUUAGUUAAGUUGCUUACUAAAAAAAAUUCUUAAAAACCAAUAUUAUAUAAUUAAGCAACCCAUAAUCAAUUGUUGGGAUAAUGGUGCUCU